Long non-coding RNA from Tupaia belangeri chinensis (Chinese tree shrew), 1906 nucleotides. RefSeq lists it as uncharacterized. NCBI's taxonomy places the organism in Eukaryota, Metazoa, Chordata, Mammalia, Scandentia, Tupaiidae. The transcript has 3 exons. The record is from RefSeq and is a predicted model, not a curated record.
CACGGGAGGGGGGGCGCAAAGGGCAACGGGUGCCCCGGGAGGGGCGCGACAGCGGGCUGGGUGCGGCAGGCGCCGCUCGCGGACGUCGGGGAAACGGCACCUGUUCCUUCCUCCCUGGCUGGGGCUGCACUGGGUGCUCUGGCGACGCUCGGGUCUCCUGCGGGUUGCCGCCUCUUUACCGCCCGCCGCCCUCGGGCAGAAGCCGAGAGCAGGGACUGAAGGCGCCCACCAAUUUACUCCGAGUUGGGCGCGGGACCCCUUCCUGAGCCCGCCCUUCGGGAAGCACCUGCUUUCUCUUUUAUCCACCUGAAGGCGAGGGAAGCUUCAGUUCGACCUCACUGGAGCAGAUUAGAGAUUGGCUGAGCCCGCAGAGGGACAACCAGGUAGGCAGGGUUCAGAGGGAACUGUGCUGAGAGGACUCCUGGCUGAUUUCAGGAGGAUGACUGCACUUCACCUUUGUGAUUUUGGACAGAACAAUCUCUCCAAGGCUAAGUUUCCUCAUUGAUAAAAUGGGAGUGCCUGUCUGCCCUGCUGCCUCAGACACUUGUGAAGCUCAAAUGACAAACUGCACUAAGGUGACUCAAAAGAUGGAAAGCCCUGGGGCAGUGAGAGACACAGCGAGAGAAAGACAAGCUUGUUCAACUGAGUCUUCAUGCCACAAUCCACCCUUCACUACUCCAGUCCUAUAUCAUGGGCACAAAAGUACCCAGCAUGUUCAAGGUUUCCAGACAUGAACCCAGAAUCUUCCAAUGUGAGUCAGCCUUGAAGAGCAUUGAGUGACUGCUAUGCCACCAAACAACCCCUCAGAAAGGGCCAUUUUAAGUUAACUGACUUUUGUUGUGAAUGAUUUCAGCAGCUUAAACGGUCCAGAAUCUGAUCAUCUUUUCUUCCAUUGUUCACAUUCCUUCACCCAGUCCCUUUUCACCUGCUCUUUGUAUGUGCUUCUGAGACCACGUCCCCUCUACCACUAGGGGGACAGAAGGAAGUUUACUGAUUCACCUGGGCCCAAAGACAAUACCAAGCACAGGAGCUCUGAGUUCACCAGCCACAAACAGACAACCUCUGUGGAAGGUUAUAUCAACAACAAUUUCAUUGAGAAAUAACUGAGCCAGAACAGUGAGGUGCUUGGAGACUUCAAAACACAGACAACAACCCCUGCCCUCAAAGACAAUUGUAGAUAAAGGAUUAAAGAAAAUAAUUGAUAAGAAAUAAAUUGUUUAUUAUAUUGAGCAUUAAUAAAUGACACAUAAAAAAAACUGUUAGAGAAAUUCAGAGGAAAGAAAAAUUACCCUAUUUUGAGGUGGUUGGAAAAAUUUUACAGAAAAGAUAUAACAACAUCUGGAGUUUAAAGAGUAAAAUUUGCCAAGAGACCUGGAGGAAAGGAAUGAAGAGAAGCAAAACAUUGAAAAACAAAAACACCUGUUCACUGCAUGCAUGUGGGGAAAAAAAUAAAAGUUUAUUUAUACAAGGAAAUAGUGGAGUAAAAAUGUAAUUUAGUAACAAAUUGUAAAAAGUCUUUAAUAGGUUUAAUCAUUCUGUCAAGUCAGAACCUCUAACUUCUUUUACUCAUUAAACAAAGAUUUGUUUUGUGGCCAACGCUACUCUAGGUAUUAGGCAUAUAACAAUUAACAAAAUAGACAAAUAAUCCUUGCCUUUCUCUUUUUUGUAACUAUUUAAAUUAAUUUUUUAUUUGACAGAAAUUGUAUAUACUUAUCCUGUAUAGUGUGUUGUUUUGAAAUAUGUAUACAUUGCAGAAUGGCUAGAUUGAGCUAUUUAGUGCAUGCAUCACGUCACAUACUUACUUUUCCUGGUGAAUCCAAAAUCUAUUUCAGCAAUAUUCAAGAAUGUAAUACAUGCUGGGGGCCAGCAGGAGGUGUGGUGGUUAAGGCACUGGAUUCCCACAUGA